RNAcentral lists this ribosomal RNA (649 nucleotides) under uncultured fungus. RNAcentral's name for it is "eukaryotic LSU rRNA". It matches the Rfam family "Eukaryotic large subunit ribosomal RNA", at positions 1 to 618 of the family's 3401-position model. The record is from RNAcentral. Lineage: Eukaryota; Fungi.
UUGACCUCAAAUCGGGUGAGACUACCCGCUGAACUUAAGCAUAUCAAUAAGCCGGAGGAAAAGAAACUAACAAGGAUUCCCCUAGUAACUGCGAGUGAAGCGGGAAAAGCUCAAAUUUAAAAUCUGGUGGUCUUUGGCCAUCCGAGUUGUAAUUUAGAGAAGCGACUUCCGCGCUGGACCGUGCACAAGUCUCCUGGAAUGGAGCGUCAUAGAGGGUGAGAAUCCCGUCUUUGGCACGGACACACCAGGGCUUUUGUGAUGCGCUCUCGAAGAGUCGAGUUGUUUGGGAAUGCAGCUCAAAAUGGGUGGUGAACUCCAUCUAAAGCUAAAUAUUGGCGAGAGACCGAUAGCGAACAAGUACCGUGAGGGAAAGAUGAAAAGCACUUUGGAAAGAGAGUGAAACAGUACGUGAAAUUGUUGAAAGGGAAACGCUUGAAGUCAGUCGCGUCGACCGAGACUCAGCCUUGCCUUGGCUUGGUGUACUUCUCGGCUGACGGGUCAGCAUCAAUUUUGCCCCUUGGAUAAUGGCGAGGGAAAUGUGACACCUUUACGGUGUGUUAUAGUCUCUCGUCGCAUGCAAGGGUUGGGAUUGAGGAACUCAGCACGCACCUUUGGGUGUCGGGGUUUUGCCCACGAUACGUGCUUAGGA